Molecule: transfer RNA, 84 nt
Filed under: Virgibacillus chiguensis
Lineage: Bacteria; Bacillati; Bacillota; Bacilli; Caryophanales; Bacillaceae
Description: tRNA_Leu_CAA
Rfam family: tRNA
About the family: Transfer RNA (tRNA) molecules are approximately 80 nucleotides in length.
Source: RNAcentral
GGAAAAGUACCCAAGUCUGGCUGAAGGGAGCGCAUUCAAAUGCGCUAGGGUGUGUAAGCGUUGGUUCAAAUCCCACCUUUUCCG